Equus caballus (horse) is the source of this 1817-nucleotide non-coding RNA. Lineage: Eukaryota; Metazoa; Chordata; Mammalia; Perissodactyla; Equidae. The record is from RefSeq and is a predicted model, not a curated record.
GUGCAGCAGAGGGAGUGGAUGUUGACUUCAGCAUCCCGGAUCCUUUGCCAGGCAAGUCCGCUCACGAAGCCAUGAGCAGAGGGGCUCUGCUAUCUCCAGGGCCAGAACUCCUGCCACACAGGUACGUCCCUAAUCAGAACAAGUGAGGCAGUGUGGAUUCCUGAGUUGGGAUAUUUCAUGCCCAAGAAGUAAGUCAUUGAGUCCACGGGCACAUGCAUUUCCUUCUGUGAAUAGCUCUGACCCUUCCAUCCAUGAGCUCCAUUGCUGUCUUCUGCAAAACUCUUCCUUGCUGAGUCCUUUCCUUUUAUAUCAUGCCUGUUUCUUCAAAUAUCUUGUUAACCAAAAUUUCCUUCUCACUCUCCAUGUCAUGCGUACCUACCUGUACUGGCUUGAAGCAUUUAUUCUUUACUCAAAAUCAUAAUGAACAAGAUAUUUACUAGUAUACUUGGUUGCAACAUCAUGUCUUUUUACAUACAGAACUCUUUACAAGUACUUCCCUGUCUAUAUUAUCAAAUUUGACAGUGUGCCCCUGUUUUGGAAAAUGGCAGCUAACAUUUAUGAGUGCCUCCCAUGUGCCAUGGCACUAUUCUAAAUGUAGUAUGUGGGGCAACUCAUUGAAUCUUCGUAGUAAUCCAUUAAAAUGGCAGGAUUAUACCUAUUUUGCAGAUGGAGAAACUGAGGCCUAAGGAGGUUCAGGGCCAUCCUCCAGGUCACAUGACUAGAACGUCAUACAGCUGGAGGGCUGGUGAGACCAGCGUAUUUCUCCAAAAUAAGCCCGUGAAAGCAUCCUCUGACUCCUGACAAGGCCCAGUGGAGCGGCUCUACCACUUGGAGCAUCAAGCCUCUUCCUCCCUUGAAGAAUGUGCCUCAUGUUCCUACCCACAGGCUUGGACCUGGGGUGCUCCGUGUGUGGCCUGCCCCUGGAUUCUUUGUCUCCACAGGUAGCAUGAGCUCCUGCAGGUAGGCCAGCAGCUGGACAGGUUGGUUUUUGACUGGGGGGUGACCGGAUGACGAGCAUCUGAAAGUUGCAGUGAAAUUACCCGUUGGCUAGAGGUGAGAAUUCCAUCACUGCCCUCCAUUUCUGUUCUGGGAAGGUGGGUAGUCUGGUGGCAGGGAGACGAUCUUGUAACACAUGCCCGCCCAGUUCUACCUGAAUGUGAGAUGUACUGGGUGGCAGUGGAGAGGUGGAUAUACCUCGAACGUGUUGCGUAGAGCCCCCUGGAAGCAGCUCAGUAAAGGCUCCAGUUCUGAGGUGAAGUGUCUGGGCGGACACUGGAGGCUGAAGCUGCCCUUACCUAACUUUGGUGAGUAUAUUCAGAAUGUUCCAGAGCAGUGGUCCCGGACCUGCAGCAUCACCAUAGCCUGGGAGCUUUCUAGAACCACAACUUCUGGGCUCCUCCCCAGCCCUGCAGCUUCAGAAACUCUAGGGUUGGGCUCCAGAAAUCUAAGCUCUAACAAGCUCUCCAGGUGAUUCUGGUGCAGGCUCAAGUUUGAGAACCACUGGUCCAGAGCAAGAACUGGAUUUUAUAGUUCUUAUUGUAAAAUCAGAAAUUCAAAAUAUUUUAUUAUUUCACUUAUUACGGACUUAUGAUAGAAAUCCUACAAUGUGCUUUUAGGAAAAUUAGGAAUAGCAAAAGGAAAAGUUAACAAAAUUGCCCACAAAUCUUCUCUCUUAGCAGGAGAAAAGCAUGAUUAGGGUUUUGGUGUGUUUCUCUUUAGCCCGUUUCCUGCAAAAAUCCUAAUAAAGUUAUCACUAGUUUGCCUUCAUUUGGGUGAGUUAAUGUGAGAAUCACCUCCUGGAUUCAGGCGAGAAGAGG